AAACCAAUACAUGCUUUUAAAGCAUGAAUGUUGGUGAUUUACAGUAACUUAGCAAAUCGCAUAGUGUAAACAGGCGAUAAGUCAUUCAAGUUUCUGACCUAUCAGCUUUCGACGGUAUGGUAUUGGCUUACCGUGGCAGUGACGGUUAACGGGGGAUUAGGGUUCGAUUCCGGAGAGGGAGCCUGAGAGACGGCUACCACAUCUAAGGAAGGCAGCAGGCGCGCAAAUUACCCAAUUCUAACAGCAUAAGAGAGGUAGUGACAAGAAAUAACAAUACAAGGUAUUUAAAAUGCUUUGUAAUUGGAAUGAUAGAAAUUUAAACACUUUUUAAAGUAUCAAUUGGAGGGCAAGUCUGGUGCCAGCAGCCGCGGUAAUUCCAGCUCCAAUAGCGUAUAUUAAAAUUGUUGCAGUUAAAAAGCUCGUAGUUGAAUUUCUGCUAAAAAUAACCGGUCGGCUUUUAAUAAAAGUGGUAUCCUGGUGUGUUUUUAGCAAUAGCGUCCUUUGAAAUGUUUUUUACUUUAUUGUAAUAAACCAUAUUCAGGAUUUUUA
RNAcentral lists this ribosomal RNA (549 nucleotides) under Hepatozoon ursi. RNAcentral describes it as "bacterial SSU rRNA". It matches the Rfam family "Eukaryotic small subunit ribosomal RNA", at positions 219 to 754 of the family's 1831-position model. The record is from RNAcentral. Lineage: Eukaryota; Apicomplexa; Hepatozoidae.